CACGGGGGGAGCAAGCGUUGUUCGGAAUCACUGGGCGUAAAGGGCGUGUAGGCGGUUCGGUAAGUGGAAUGGGAAAUGCUCCGGCUCACCCGGAGUACUGCAUCCCAAACUGCCGAGCUUGAGUAUGGGAGAGGAUGAGGGAAUUCCUGGUGUAGCGGUGAAAUGCGUAGAUAUCGAGAGGAACACCAGUGGCGAAGGCGAGUCCCUGGACAACACCUGACACUGAGGCACGAAGGCCAGGGGAGCAAACGGG
This 253-nucleotide ribosomal RNA is filed under the name uncultured bacterium. RNAcentral's name for it is "partial 16S ribosomal RNA". It matches the Rfam family "Bacterial small subunit ribosomal RNA", at positions 524 to 776 of the family's 1533-position model. The record is from RNAcentral.